UACAGGGGGUGCAAACGUUGCUCGGAAUUAUUGGGCGUAAAGCGCGCGUAGGCGGCCACUUAAGUCGGAUGUGAAAGCCCCUGGCUCAACUGGGGAAGUGCACCCGAAACUGAAUGGCUUGAGUGCGAAAGAGGGUCGCGGAAUUCCCGGUGUAGAGGUGAAAUUCGUAGAUAUCGGGAGGAACACCGGUGGCGAAGGCGGCGACCUGGGUUGACACUGACGCUGAGGCGCGAAAGCGUGGGGAGCAAACAGG
RNAcentral lists this ribosomal RNA (253 nucleotides) under uncultured bacterium. RNAcentral describes it as "partial 16S ribosomal RNA". It matches the Rfam family "Bacterial small subunit ribosomal RNA", at positions 524 to 776 of the family's 1533-position model. The record is from RNAcentral.